ACUGGAGCACGGAGUAGGGAAAACCGGCGGUGUAGCCCCGGAGCUGCUGCAGAGGAUGUAAUUUCCUUGAGAAACGGACCUCUGUCCAGACUCCCAGACUCGGCGGUGCCGGGCUGUGGGUGGUCCCCUCCCGGAGCAGCAGGACUGGCCGCCGGGCGCAGCGGGGAGGAAGGAGGCCCCGGAGCUAGAUCCCGGAAGACGAAUAACGCGCGCGCGGGGAACAGCAGCCCCUCCCAGCCUCGCCAAAGCAGCGCCAUCGGAACGCGGCAGUCGCCGGCUGGCGCCGCCCGGGGAAACCCCGGGUCUCGAGAUUUGGGUACUGUGUCUUUAAGGGGGCGGGUCCGAUGGGGCGGACCCAGCGCCUACUCUCCCGGCCCCGCCCCCGCCCCCGUUACGCAGGCUCCGCCCCUCUGGGGCGCCCCCCGCGGUGCAGGACAAAGGGGCUCGGCCCAGCUGCAGCAGCGCUAGCCGAGCUUCCAGCCCUCCGACCGGAAGCGAGGAGGAGGGACCCCCCCCCCGCCCCCGGCGGAACCUGUGAUCGGCGCGACUCCGAGGACACCGCGCUUCAGAACAGCUGCUGCAGAAAUAGCUUAUCCUUCCGAGAGCUGGACCUUCACUCCCUGCCGUCGCUGAUUCGGAAGCUGGCAGCCGAGCAGGCCCUGGCGAGCGCCCCAGCGGGUCCCCUGCAGGCGGCGGAGACGGGGAAGCCGCGCCCGCAAGCUUGUCUAGGGUCCCGCGCCGGUUUGCAGCACCUGGAGAAGAAUGACCCUUGUUCCGAAGACAGUAACUUAAGGCCGCGAAGACUGGUUAAAACUACUCUGCGCUCACACACACGGUCCCCUGCGUGGUGCGAGUGCGGGGCGGAGGCACUUUUUUCUCGGAGGAGCCUGCGUGAGGCGGGAUGGAGCCUGCAACCGCGCAGCCGCACCCGCAAGGCUGGCGCUGAAAGGCAGCAGCCAGGGCCCGCGCGCGCUUGUGGAGGCGGCCAGCGCAGAGUGAAGCUAAUUCUCCCUCCUCGCGCUGCGGGAGCCAUGCCCAGCGGGGAGCCUGCAGAGGACAGAGGCUCGAGCCCCCGCCUGGGGGCGCCCUACGCCGAGGCCUGGGGCUACUUCC
Molecule: long non-coding RNA, 1113 nt
Filed under: Chinchilla lanigera (long-tailed chinchilla)
Lineage: Eukaryota; Metazoa; Chordata; Mammalia; Rodentia; Chinchillidae
Description: lncRNA (ENSCLAG00000026234.1)
Source: RNAcentral